Molecule: long non-coding RNA, 522 nt
Organism: Homo sapiens (human)
Lineage: Eukaryota; Metazoa; Chordata; Mammalia; Primates; Hominidae
Source: Ensembl
GGGUUGAUUCUAUUAUCUGAUGUUUUAUUAAUCUCUGUGAAAUAAUUGUGUAAAUUAAUAUAGAGACUAGUUGAGAAAUGGUGGAUAACAUGAAGAAGAUACCCAUUUUUGCAUAGAUUAGAUGUGAUCAACCUCACACUAUCAUAUGAAAGUUGGCUGCAUUGGAGAGACAGGAAUUAAUAUUAAAAAUGUUUUCAGUUCAGAUUGAUAUCUUACAUUUCCAAAUAUUAUUUUCUUUUGAAUAUGUGUGAGCCACUGUGCCUGGCCCCACAUUUUUUAAAACAAUGACUUUAGGGUUUCAGCUUUUCCUGUCUUUUAAAACAAAUUAGCCAUUUUUUAUUCUAAGAAAGGGUUGUAUUAUAAAGCUGACCUACUACUAGCUUAUCAGAAAAAACACGUGGGUCUCAUAUCUGAUUCUCCUAUGUAGCCAAAAGUGCCAUUUGUAAGUCUACUAAAUGACGGAUAUUUUCUGAAGAUCUUUUGCCUGGAAAACAAAUAGUGCAUUAAAAAGCUUUUUUGGUA